Molecule: long non-coding RNA, 1537 nt
Filed under: Homo sapiens (human)
Lineage: Eukaryota; Metazoa; Chordata; Mammalia; Primates; Hominidae
Description: PREDICTED lncRNA (TCONS_00067672)
Source: RNAcentral
ACUGUGAAGUCACAAGAGGCCCUGAGCUCUGUGGGCCCCAGGUGCCCCGGGAAAACUUGGGGGAGAAUGGGCAUCCCACCCCAGCACUUUCUAGGAAGAAGGGCAGCAUUUUGAAGGGCUGGAAGUAGAGGAAGGAGGUUGCGGGUAGAAGACUCCAUACUUUCUGUGACGCCUAUUCCUUAGGAAUCAAGGCUAUCUGUAAUCACAGGGCUAUUUGAAAAAGAGAAGAAAAGGUGUCUUGAAAUUCAACCAACAUGUUUCAAUUAUUUGCUCCUAAGAACAACAGAAGUUUCAACAUUCUGCCAACAGAGUAACUCCUGGAAGAUUGGCACAGAAGAAGGCACAAGGUAAAUACCCAUCUCUGUACACCCCGUGCUACCAUGUCAUGUGCUGCUCCAGGCAACUCCAAUGGAUUGGCCACCCUGGCCAGUGAUAACACAUAAAAAUUCCACUCAGUAUUGGGACCAAUAGAUAAUGAACACAGUCAGUGGAAUUCCUUCGCAGGCUUCUUCAAGAUAUUCUGCAAGACUGAUUUCCCUUCUUCUUGCCAAGAUUUUUUCCUCCUUCUUCUAGGAAGUCAGUGAUAAAAAUAUUUAAGCAGCUUUGUCUGCCUUAGACCUUCCAACUAAAAGUACAGCAAGUGGAAUGGAAUGCUAAUAUGAGGAUCCAAAUUUUCAGGGAAGGAGGAGAGCCUUUAUAUAACCAAAGAUAUUUUUGGACCAUGAAUUCAGAAAUUCUCGGAGCCACCCAUCAGUGCCUGAGCUUCAGUGAGUCCAUAUCCCAUGUCACCCACGGCAAAGGAGACUCUAAGACUUCUGAAGAGUUUCUUGCUUCUUUCCUGUGGGGCAGUGACUCCACUUCCCAGCAGUAAUGGAAUAUCCUGAAUUAGCUACAUUAAUGUUAGAACCAUUUGGACCUCACCCAGGACUUCAACUACAUUAUGAGUAACUCCUGGACGAUUGGCACAGAAGAAGGCACAAGGUUCUAGUAUGUUACGUUUAUGUUCCCCUGCUUUCUACAAUCCUGUUCAAAGAGUUGCUGACUUAACCACAGAGAGGAUUCCAGAACCUGAGACACAGAAUAAACUUGAGCAAUCAUAGUCCAUCCACUUCAUUGUCUCAUCAAAAACCAAAGGUCCAGUGAAGCUCUGGAACUCAACGCUGUAAAGGAGCGAAGGAGCUUCUAUACAGAGCCUGGAUGCCUGUCUCCUUAUCCUACUUCAGUGGACUUGACUGCAAUCCGGAUUAUGCUGUUUUCUAAGCAUUUAAAAUAAAAUAAAAAGUAUAAUAGUGUGAUAAGUUCUUUCACAAAGCAAGCAAUCACAUUUAUGUUUCUACUUACAUUUGGGUUUUCCAAAUAUGUGUGUGUGUGUGUGUGUGUGUGUGUGUGUGUGUAUGUAGACUUUAAACAUGGUGCAUCCAUCAUGUUGCACUAAAUCAAAACCACCAAAUAAUGAUGUAGAACUAAUAAAUCAAAACCAUCAAAUAAUGACAUAGAAAUCCAAUUCUCCCACCUUACACCCAUUAAGAUGGCUACU